AUGGGCUGCAUUCACACCAAAACCAUGAAGAAAGCAGCCUGGUCACCACUGAGAAGUACUGCAUGUGCCUAGACAAUGACUCCCACACCAACAAGCUCAAGUGUAAGGAGAUCGCUGUUAUUCCCGGCAAGAAGCCCCUCAGCAAGAUCACAGGCUAUGUCAAACAUCUGAUGAAAUGGAUUGAGAGGAGCCUGGUGAGUGGUAUCUCCAUCCAUCUGCAGGAGGAGGAGAGAGAAAGGAGAGAUGAUUAUGUUGCUCAGAUCUCCACCCUGGAUCAGGAAAUCAUUGGAGUCGAUCCUGACACUAAGGAAAUGUUGAAAUUCUUGGGCUUUAUCAGUCUGUCCAAACUGCAGGUCACUCAGCCUACAGUUGGGAUGAAUUCCAAAACACCAUGUGGAACCUUGAACAACAACAAUGACAAAUUCCCAAAACAGAUAAGGAAAUGUGAUUUACCAUGAUAGAGAAUCAGCAAACACAGUCAUGGCUAAAUGAAAUGAUAAAUAACCAAACCAGACAAAAUAAAACAAGUAAACUACACAGAACUAUCUGGGAGAGACUAUAAAAUAAUAUUGUAAAUGAUUACAGAGAUGAAGGAAUAGAAACCACAAGGAAAUAACAUUCAAAAAAGAAACUGGAAGAUCCUAUAAAAAGAGAUUAGAUUAGCAAUUUUAAAACUUCCCACAAAACAAAGUUCAGACCUAGUUGGCCUCCCUGGCAAAUGCUACUAAACAUUCAAAGAAAGAAAAAUACCAAUUCUUCAUAAACUCUUCCAAAAAUAGAAGAUGAGGGAACACUUCCCAAUUCCUUCUAUAGGGUCAGUUAUUGCCCAGUUAUCAAAACCAGUCAAAGACAUCACAAGAAAACAACACAUCAAUGUUCUUUAUGAUAUAGAUGUGAGAGUCAUCAACAAAAUACUAGCAA
Mirounga angustirostris (Northern elephant seal) is the source of this 921-nucleotide RNA transcript. It is a transcript of the gene named small ribosomal subunit protein eS17-like, with no coding region annotated. The record is from RefSeq and is a predicted model, not a curated record. The transcript has a single exon. NCBI's taxonomy places the organism in Eukaryota, Metazoa, Chordata, Mammalia, Carnivora, Phocidae.